RNAcentral lists this unclassified non-coding RNA (353 nucleotides) under soil metagenome. Its description in RNAcentral is "partial contains 5.8S ribosomal RNA, internal transcribed spacer 2, and large subunit ribosomal RNA". The stretch from base 1 to 120 matches the Rfam family "5.8S ribosomal RNA", at positions 35 to 154 of the family's 154-position model. The record is from RNAcentral.
GAUGAAGAACGUAGCGAAAUGCGAUAAGUAAUGUGAAUUGCAGAAUUCAGUGAAUCAUCGAAUCUUUGAACGCACAUUGCGCCCGCCAGUAUUCUGGCGGGCAUGCCUGUUCGAGCGUCAUUACAACCCUCAGGCCCCCGGGCCUGGCGUUGGGGAUCGGCGGAAGCCCCCUGCGGGCACAACGCCGUCCCCCAAAUACAGUGGCGGUCCCGCCGCAGCUUCCAUUGCGUAGUAGCUAACACCUCGCAACUGGAGAGCGGCGCGGCCACGCCGUAAAACACCCAACUUCUGAAUGUUGACCUCGAAUCAGGUAGGAAUACCCGCUGAACUUAAGCAUAUCAAUAAGCUGAGGA